GAUGAAGAACGUAGUGAAAUGCGAUAAGUAAUGUGAAUUGCAGAAUUCAGUGAAUCAUCGAAUCUUUGAACGCACAUUGCGCCCCUUGGUAUUCCGAGGGGCAUGCCUGUUCGAGCGUCAUAUUAACCACUCCCGCUUGCGGGGUCUUGGGCUUCGCCUCCGGGCGGGCCUUAAAAUCAGUGGCGGUGCCGUCGGGCUCUACGCGUAGUAAAUUUUCUCGCGAUAGGGUUCCGGUGGAUGCUUGCCAACAACCCCCAACUUCUUAAGGUUGACCUCGGAUCAGGUAGGGAUACCCGCUGAACUUAAGCAUAUCAAUAAGCGGAGGA
RNAcentral lists this unclassified non-coding RNA (326 nucleotides) under soil metagenome. RNAcentral describes it as "partial contains 5.8S ribosomal RNA, internal transcribed spacer 2, and large subunit ribosomal RNA". The stretch from base 1 to 120 matches the Rfam family "5.8S ribosomal RNA", at positions 35 to 154 of the family's 154-position model. The record is from RNAcentral.